GAAUAAAAUCAAAUCAAAUCAAAUCAAAUAAAAUAAAAUAAAAUAAAAUCAAAAUAAAAUAAAACAUAAAAAAUUCAGAAACUGGGUUGCCUCCCAGCAAGCGCUCUUUUAAUGUCACUAGCUUGACCCAGCAGAGCUCAAACACCCAUCAGUAGGUGUUAAUAUUCUCCUUGCUUGAUAUUCUUUCCUUUUUCUUCUUCCUGCUGAAUUUCUUCAGAAAAUUCAGAACACCAAGCACAUGUUUCCAUAUAUCAAUCACAGGAACUUUAAUCUCCAAUUUCUUGAAGAUUUCAAUAAAGCACUUAAGCUUAUUUUCUUUCCUAUGAUAUUUCUUUUGAUGAGGAAGGGGUUUUUCAUAUGAUCUUUUCUUCUUUCCUCUCUUCCUCUUUUUCUUAUUCUUCUCCUCCCUCAACUUUUUCUUUUUAUUUUCUUUUAAUUUCUUCUUUUUAUUUUCGCACUUUUUUUCUUUUUUUCUUUUCUCUCAACCGCUUCUUUUUCUUUCUCCUCAUCUUUCUCUCCCUCACUCAACUUUUCUGUUUCUUCUUCCUCUACAUCUCUCUCUAUAUUUUCCUCCUCAACAACCUUAUCACUUUCAGAGAUAGUGGCUUGACAUUGCUUUGUACGGUUAACUUCAAUGUUAGCCCCAAAUUGAUUUUUUUGUCUCCAAAUUCCUAAAAGUAACUUCAUAGCUCUUGGAAUUGUACUUCUUCAAAAAUUUGUCGAAUCUCCAAAUUCCGUCAAGUUAGCUCCUGGAAUCUCCAAAUUUCGUCAAGUUAGCUACCUGAUGACAUAGUUGUUGCUCGUCCUCCCAUGUUUCUGUUGGUAAAGAGAGUUGUUG
Molecule: long non-coding RNA, 838 nt
Filed under: Vigna radiata
Lineage: Eukaryota; Viridiplantae; Streptophyta; Magnoliopsida; Fabales; Fabaceae
Description: long non-coding RNA (VRAD_LNC006779)
Source: RNAcentral